RNAcentral lists this ribosomal RNA (253 nucleotides) under uncultured bacterium. RNAcentral's name for it is "partial 16S ribosomal RNA". It matches the Rfam family "Bacterial small subunit ribosomal RNA", at positions 524 to 776 of the family's 1533-position model. The record is from RNAcentral.
UACGUAGGCAGCGAGCGUUGUUCGGAGUUACUGGGCGUAAAGCGUGCGUAGGCGGUGGCUUAAGUUUGUUGUGAAAUCUCCCGGCUUAACCGGGAGGGUGCGGCGAAUACUGAGAUGCUGGAGUGCCGGAGAGGUAAGCGGAAUUCCUGGUGUAGCGGUGAAAUGCGUAGAGAUCAGGAAGAACAUCGGUGGCGAAGGCGCUCUGCUGGACCAUAACUGACACUCAGGGACGAAAGCUAGGGGAGCGAAUGGG